Quercus robur (English oak) is the source of this 2823-nucleotide RNA transcript. It is a transcript of the gene named solute carrier family 40 member 3, chloroplastic, with no coding region annotated. Lineage: Eukaryota; Viridiplantae; Streptophyta; Magnoliopsida; Fagales; Fagaceae. The transcript has 15 exons. The record is from RefSeq and is a predicted model, not a curated record.
UCUAAAACUGAGAGCCACACACACAGAACAAACACUUUGAAGUUGAACUGUCCGCCUAACUGCCUGUCCUCUCAAACACAGAAUUCUCACAAUUCAGAGUCUUCACUUCAGACCCCAAGACUAACACAGUAACACUACAGUCUUCAGAUAAGCCUACGUAGCCAAACCAAAAAACCAGUUAUAUUCUUUGAAAAUAAAACAAACCCAGAUUUAUUUAUUUUUUAUACAUUUUUUUGUAAUGUGAAUUCCGAGAACCCAUUAGGGAUUAGACUAUGAGAGCCUGAGUGACCAAACCCACUUCUCAAAAUUCAAUCUUUUUUGUUUCUGUUUUUGAGUUCUGCUGCAUGAGUAGGAAGGAACCCAUUUGGUUCUCCUCCUUCAAGCCACAUCACUUGAAGAAGAAGAAGAAGAAGAAGCAACCAUGGCUACACUGGUCACAGCAACAAUCAACCAUUCCUCACUUCCUUUCACUUCAUUCAACAAAUUCUCGAUCCCCCAAGUUUCUAUACGGCUGCCACCACCUUCUUCUCGAGUUCAUAAUCGAUUCUCUUCUCGCAGAUUGUUGAGUUUCCAACCUUACAGUUCUUGCAGGUUUGAUAGUUUAAUUUCAAGCUGUUCAAUAACAAAUGCCGAUGUACAGUUCAACCAGGUUGCCGCUGAGGAUGAGCUCCCACAAGAUUUUUCAGAACUUGAACCUAACUGUUCAGUCCCAAUUGUUCAUCUCAAAUCUGAAAUUCUUGAGACUGAAUCAUUGAAUUUACUGACAGAAGAGACUUAUGUAGAUGGUCAUUUCACAAAUUUGCCUGUUUUAUCAGAGGAGGAGCAAAAUGCCCUUGCAGCAACUCCAGCCCAUCCAGCUGGAUUAUAUGCUCUUUAUGCCAGUUGUGUUGCUGGGAAUUUAGUGGAGCAGCUUUGGAAUUUUGCUUGGCCUUCUGCUAUUGCAUUGCUCCAUCCAAGUCUUCUACCGGUGGCUGUCAUAGGAUUCUUCACUAAGCUUGUAAUAAUUGGUGGAGGACCUUUGAUUGGAAAACUUAUGGACCAUUUCCCCAGAGUACCUUCAUAUAUUUGUUUGAAUAUUGUCCAGGCAGCUGCACAGUUGUUAUCUGCAUCAAUGAUUAUUUAUGCCCACUCUGUUCCUCAUAGCUCCACUUCAUCUAUGCUUCUACGUCCUUGGUUCAUUGUGCUAGUAUUAGCUGGGGCUGUUGAAAGGCUAUUUGGAGUGGCAACAGGGGUUGCUAUGGAGCGUGAUUGGGUUGUGCUGUUAGCAGGAAUAAAUAGGCCAAUUGCACUUGCAAAAGCAAAUGCUUUUCUAAGCCGAAUUGAUCUUCUCUGUGAGAUAGCUGGAGCAUCCCUAUUUGGCGUUCUUCUCUCUAUGUUUGACCCAGUGACUUGCUUGAAGUUUGCUGCUGGUUUGAUGUUAUGCUCAUUGCCCGUUGUGGUUGUCCUCACAUGGUUAACCAACAAGCUCUCUACUGGUGUUCUUGAUCGAACUAAAAUUUCACAAACCUAUUGCAGAACAUCCACUGGGGAAUCCUUGCCUGAGGAUGACAAUAUAGUGGAUAUAGGUCUGGAAGCUAUUAAACAUGGGUGGAAGGAAUACAUACAGCAGCCAGUUCUUCCUGCAAGCCUAGCCUGUGUGCUACUCUACUUCAAUGUGGUUCUCACUCCGGGCAGUUUGAUGACAGCAUUUUUAACACAGCGUGGUCUAAAUCCAUCAAUCAUUGGAGCAUUUAGUGGAGUAUGUGCUUUUAUGGGAGUUGCAGCAACAUUUAUAUCUUCAGAUUUAGUCAGGCGAUUUGGAAUUUUAAAGGCUGGAGCAGUUGGAUUGAUAUUUCAGGCUUCACUUCUUACCUUAGCUGUUGGAGUAUAUUGGAGUGGAUGUCUUACUCAGCAGAGCCCCCUUCUUUUCUUCUUAUCUUUGAUUGUAUUAUCGAGAUUAGGACACAUGUCAUAUGAUGUUGUGGGGGCACAGAUUCUACAAACUGCAAUCCCAUCAUCGAAAGCAAAUAUUAUUGGGACAACAGAGGUUGCAGUUGCUAGUUUGGCAGAGUCUGUAAUGUUGGGAGUUGCAAUUGUUGGAAACGAUGCUUCACAGUUUGGUUUUCUUGCAAUGCUGUCACUUUUAUCAGUGGUUGGGGCAGCGUGGAUGUACUGCCGAUGGUUGUUGAAUCCAACAGACGAACAAAUAAGUCUUUUCUCUUUUGAUCCUCAUUUUUAGUUCUCAUUCAGUUGAUCUUUCACUUUCGUUAGUGUGAAGGCUGUGUUUUUGACACAAGUUGGAGACAAGAUCUAUAAAUAUACCACAAUAUCCACAAUUAUCUAUAUAUAGACAUGAGUUUGACUCUUCUAAUCUGGAUUCCAUCAAACAUGAACUUCCAGUCUGCGACUCCAAGGACCACCUCAAAGAUUCUCACAGCAAUUUGUUUGUGUAGGCUUUGUGAGUUGUGACUUUAGCUUGAUCACCAACUUCUUCUAAAAUUGUUCUUCGGAUUCACUUUGAUGUCUCUGGUUAGAUGGUGGAUGGAGAGAAUUAGGUUCUAGAAACCUUAGAUACAUGUAAAAAUUUCUCUGUACUUGUAUUUAGUUGGCUCUUAUGAUCUCUUAAAUACUUUAGCAAGGCUCAAAAUUAAGUCAUGAGCCGACUUAAUGGACCUGAUUGAGAUUUAGAAUUCUCAAAAUUUGAUUGAUUGAGAGUUUGUCAAGGCAUAGCUUGAUCAAUCUAAAGAUAUGUAGAGCUGGUGUAAACUUCCUUUUUGUUGAGCUGAUCUUGGGUCUUCGUUUUGGACUUGAAUUACAACUCUAAAAAGCACAAGACUUACAAUU